RNAcentral lists this ribosomal RNA (354 nucleotides) under uncultured bacterium. RNAcentral describes it as "partial 16S ribosomal RNA". It matches the Rfam family "Bacterial small subunit ribosomal RNA", at positions 468 to 821 of the family's 1533-position model. The record is from RNAcentral.
GCUGAAGGUACCAGAUGAAUAAGCAUCGGCUAACUCCGUGCCAGCAGCCGCGGUAAUACGGAGGGUGCAAGCGUUAUCCGGAUUCACUGGGUUUAAAGGGUGCGUAGGCGGUCMAUUAAGUCAGUGGUGAAAUAUCCGGGCUYAACCMKSACAGUGCCAUUGAUACUVUCKGUCUUGAAUAUAGUGGAGGUAAGCGGAAUAUGUCAUGUAGCGGUGAAAUGCUUAGAUAUGUCACAGAACACCAAUUGCGAAGGCAGCUUAYUACGCKAAUAUUGACACUGAGGCACGAAAGCGUGGGGAUCAAACAGGAUUAGAUACCCUGGUAGUCCACSCCUUAAACGACGCAYACYAGAC